Molecule: ribosomal RNA, 464 nt
Filed under: uncultured bacterium
Lineage: Bacteria
Description: partial 16S ribosomal RNA
Rfam family: Bacterial small subunit ribosomal RNA
Source: RNAcentral
CCUACGGGAGGCAGCAGUAGGGAAUUUUCGUCAAUGGGCGCAAGCCUGAACGAGCAAUGCCGCGUGAACGAGGAAGGUCUUCGGAUCGUAAAGUUCUGUUGAAGGGGAAAAAGAGCGGAGAGAGGAAAUGAACUCCGAUUGAUAUUACCCUUCGAGGAAGUCACGGCUAACUACGUGCCAGCAGCCGCGGUAAUACGUAGGUGGCGAGCGUUAUCCGGAAUGAUUGGGCGUAAAGGGUGCGUAGGCGGCCUGCUAAUUCUGGAGUGAAAGGUACCGGCUCAACCGGUAUAGGCUCUGGAAACUGGCGGGAUAGAGAGCAGAGGAGGGCGGUGGAACUCCAUGUGGAGCGGUAAAAUGCGUAGAGAUAUGGAAGAACACCAGUGGCGAAGGCGGCCGCCUGGCCUGUUACUGACGCUGUGGCACGAAAGCGUGGGGAGCAAAUAGGAUUAGAUACCCUGGUAGUC